AUCACAUUUCCAAACUGACAAUUCAGACACAGAACAAAAGUCUUUUGGAACACAUUCAAAGACCCAUGUUUAUAAUUACAAUAACUUUGUACAAACCCAAAAUUAAAGUCAUUAUAUGUGAUGUAACUGCUACCAACAUUUAUAUAAAAAAAUAAAAUGUGCCAUGAGAAAAAAAAAAAAAAAAAAAAAAAAAAACAGUAUGCAGACUUUAUUUUCUCUGGAGGAAACUACUAAAAGAGAACUUAGAUCAUCUGGUGCGAGCCAGAUGAUCUGAGUUAUUUGACAUCCAAGUUAUUUGAUGUUAAAAAAAAAGACAUUCAACAGAAAAGUUUUGUUUGUUAUAGAUCCCACAUUUAUCAAAGCCAUUUUAAUUGGCACAACAUAAUUUCACAUAAUGACAUAAUUUUCCCAUAUCAUAGCACUAUUAAUAUUAUUGGCUCAUUCAUAUUUUUCUUAGGCAAAAUCAUCUGCUAAAUAAAUAAAUAUAUAUAUAUAUAUAUAUAUAUAUAUAAUUUCUUGCAGUUGCAAAAGUUGUCCUCUAGGCAAUGGCAGAGCAAAAUCAUGAGAAGCGGAGCAUCACAUUGAAAGCAGGAAGUUCCAGCGUGUUUAUGUGUGAAACUGCAGAGACUCACAGUAACACAGAGCUACAGCUCAGAGCACGGAGAACAUUAAUACACAAUUCAUAUGACCGAGUAAACAUGGAAAAACACCUGUUUCUGAUUUUAUUUCUGAUUUCAGGUGUGAUGACUGCAGACAAGAUUGGGCCAAAUGAAGAAACUGUUAUAAAGAAGGAAGGCGAGACUGUGACCCUCAGCUGCUCAUAUGAAACAGACAGCAGUAAUGUUAGACUUUACUGGUACAGACAGUAUCUUAAUGGAGAGCCUCAGUAUUUAAUGUGGAAAGAGGCUCGUUCAUGGAGUAGUACUGGGAACCCCUCUGAUCCUCGCUUUCAGUCGACUACAUCUCAAACAUCCACUGAACUCAUUAUUAACAGUGUGACUCUGUCAGAUUCAGCUCUCUAUUAUUGUGCUCUAAGAGUUGGAGCCCAGUGAUACAAAGUCUAUGUGAAGCUGUACAAAAACUCAAAUUCAUUUUUCACUUUGAUCUCAAGCCACAUCAAACCCACAAUCUAUAAUUCACAUAAUAUUAUUACACCAGUGGAAACACCUGUGUGUGGUUACAAAGGAAAUUUAGUUUAGCGAAAUGAAAGAAAGUGAAAAGAGAUCAAAAUAACAGAUAAACAAUACAUAUUCUAUUAAAUAUGCAACAUCCCACGUGACUUUAGUACAUCACAGCUUGAUAAAUGUGAUUAAACAUUAAAUUAUCAUCUGAUAUCUCCUCUGCUUGAGUCUGCCUGAAAAAAGUCUGAUCAAUCCAAUAAAUGUAAUUUUACUUCUGAUUAAUUGAUUCUGACUUUAGUUACAGUGUUGAAUUAUUUCACAACAUAGGCUAAUGUUGCAUU
Ctenopharyngodon idella (grass carp) is the source of this 1462-nucleotide non-coding RNA. Lineage: Eukaryota; Metazoa; Chordata; Actinopteri; Cypriniformes; Xenocyprididae. The record is from the annotation of a RefSeq genome assembly.